This 483-nucleotide ribosomal RNA is filed under the name uncultured bacterium. Its description in RNAcentral is "partial 16S ribosomal RNA". It matches the Rfam family "Bacterial small subunit ribosomal RNA", at positions 28 to 523 of the family's 1533-position model. The record is from RNAcentral.
GAUGAACGCUGGCGGCGUGCUUAACACAUGCAAGUCGAACGGUGAAGCAGAGCUUGCUCUGUGGAUCAGUGGCGAACGGGUGAGUAACACGUGAGCAACCUGCCCUGGACUCUGGGAUAAGCGCUGGAAACGGCGUCUAAUACUGGAUACGAGACGUGGCCGCAUGGUCAACGGUUGGAAAGAUUUUUUGGUUCAGGAUGGGGUCGCGGCCUAUCAGCUUGUUGGUGAGGUAAUGGCUCACCAAGGCGUCGACGGGUAGCCGGCCUGAGGGGGGGAGCGGCGACACUGGGACUGAGACACGGCCCAGACUCCUAUGGGAGGCAGCAGUGGGGAAUAUUGCACAAUGGGCGAAAGACUGAUGCAGCAACGCCGCGUGAGGGAUGACGGCCUUCGGGUUGUAAACCUCUUUUAGCAAGGAAGAAGCGAAAGUGACGGUACUUGCAGAAAAAGCGCCGGCUAACUACGUGCCAGCCGCCGCCGUAA